AUGAAUGGAAACGGGGCGGGCGUGAGCUCCGCUUUCUUCCUCACUCCCUGAUUGGCUGUAGGGAAGUCAGGAGCAAUUUCACGUUAAAGGGAUAGCGGCACAGAAUUUGACGGAGAGCGAGUUUGCUCAGAGAGGCAAUGAUGGCCGCUAAGUUGGAUGGCUUGAAAAGUGCAUUGGGAAAAUACAUGGAGGAGAGGAACUCUUUUUAAUAGCUCCUAGACAUCAUGGGAGCUGUAUCAAGUGCAAAGGAAGUGGAGAAAGAUGCUUGUGGAGCUUAAAGCUGUAACAAGAGUGGGAUAUUUGUUUCUGUGCUACUGGUGUUAAAUUGAUGGCUUAUCCCUGGGAGUCGAAAGCAGAAACAUUUAUCUCAACAAUUACAUCUGUGGGUGGCUAAAAACUUGAUGACUUAAAGAAGAAGCAUGAAUCCCUUUGAAUAUGCUUGAUAGUGAAAGAUUCUGCGUGUUUCUUUUCUUUUUAUAUUUCAUUCUCAUUCCCGUACUUCUACCUGUUAACUUACUCUGAUAAAGACUCUGGGCAUAUUGCCAGUACAAGAGGUUUGGGCACUCUUCCAGCAUGUAUAUCAAUCUACCACAAUUCUGUUUUAAUGAAUUAUUUUCAUGGUUUUAAUAGAUUUUUAUGUGUAUACAUUCAGUUUUAAUUAUACAGAUGUCUAAUUGUUUUUUUUAUUAUUAUUCCCCUCCCCCACGUUUUUAGCUUUCUUAUUUUUAUCUGUAAGCC
Molecule: long non-coding RNA, 738 nt
Organism: Podarcis raffonei (Aeolian wall lizard)
Lineage: Eukaryota; Metazoa; Chordata; Lepidosauria; Squamata; Lacertidae
Exons: 3
Source: RefSeq, a predicted model, not a curated record